AAAUUGAAGAGUUUGAUCAUGGCUCAGAUUGAACGCUGGCGGCAGGCCUAACACAUGCAAGUCGAGCGGUAGCACAGAGAGCUUGCUCUCGGGUGACGAGCGGCGGACGGGUGAGUAAUGUCUGGGAAACUGCCUGAUGGAGGGGGAUAACUACUGGAAACGGUAGCUAAUACCGCAUAAUGUCGCAAGACCAAAGUGGGGGACCUUCGGGCCUCAUGCCAUCAGAUGUGCCCAGAUGGGAUUAGCUAGUAGGUGGGGUAACGGCUCACCUAGGCGACGAUCCCUAGCUGGUCUGAGAGGAUGACCAG
Molecule: ribosomal RNA, 308 nt
Filed under: Klebsiella pneumoniae
Lineage: Bacteria; Pseudomonadati; Pseudomonadota; Gammaproteobacteria; Enterobacterales; Enterobacteriaceae
Also listed under: 5 other names
Description: bacterial SSU rRNA
Rfam family: Bacterial small subunit ribosomal RNA
Source: RNAcentral